This 204-nucleotide ribosomal RNA is filed under the name Paratrochosina amica. RNAcentral describes it as "partial small subunit ribosomal RNA". The record is from RNAcentral. Lineage: Eukaryota; Metazoa; Arthropoda; Arachnida; Araneae; Lycosidae.
CUUUUACUUUUAUUAUAAAUUUAUAUACCGCUAUUUAAAGAACUAAUCUACCAAUUCUAUUCAAAAUAUAUACAUGCGAACUAAAAAAAUAAGUCAAGGUGUAAUUUAUAUUCAAGUAUAUUAUGGGUUACAAUAAAAAUUAUUUAUGGAUAAAUUUUUAAAAACAAAUUUUUAAAUAGGAUUUAUAAGUAUUACUCAAUAAUA